GAUGAACGCUGGCGGCGUGCCUAAUACAUGCCAGUCGAGCGAACGGACGAGAAGCUUGCUUCUCUGAUGUUAGCGGCGGACGGGUGAGUAACACGUGGAUAACCUACCUAUAAGACUGGGAUAACCUCGGGAAACCGGAGCUAAUACCGGAUAAUAUUUUGAACCGCAUGGUUCAAAAGUGAAAGACGGUCUUGCUGUCACUUAUAGAUGGAUCCGCGCUGCAUUAGCUAGUUGGUAAGGUAACGGCUUACCAAGGCAACGAUGCAUAGCCGACCUGAGAGGGUGAUCGGCCACACUGGAACUGAGACACGGUCCAGACUCCUACGGGAGGCAGCAGUAGGGAAUCUUCCGCAAUGGGCGAAAGCCUGACGGAGCAACGCCGCGUGAGUGAUGAAGGUCUUCGGAUCGUAAAACUCUGUUAUUAGGGAAGAACAUAUGUGUAAGUAACUGUGCACAUCUUGACGGUACCUAAUCAGAAAGCCACGGCUAACUACGUG
Molecule: ribosomal RNA, 497 nt
Filed under: uncultured bacterium
Lineage: Bacteria
Description: partial 16S ribosomal RNA
Rfam family: Bacterial small subunit ribosomal RNA
Source: RNAcentral